GAGCAACAUGUACCUGAGGACUGUGCAGAACGAAAGCUCGGGUUGACGCUGUCCUUGUCCAUUUAAUUUAGAAACGGUGUUGUGUCCAGUAGUCAGAUAGUCAAUUUCAGAUAGAGUUGUGUCACAUGUUAAAUGUAAAGUCAAUGCAUUUGCAACCUUUUAUUAUGCUGAACGGCAAAAGUGCCAUUUCCAGAACGGCAGAAGUUGAGAGAGGAAAGUGGAGUCAUUUUUGAGACAGCAUAGCGAGAAGGAAGUUAUUUUCCGAGGUGACCUUGGAGCAUUCAUCAAAGACACCUGAUGAAGCCCUACCCAUCGGAUAAGAGCAGCUGUUCUUUGCUCAGAGGGUAGGAGUGAAAGACUAGAUAUCCUGCUCCUCCAGCGAUGACACCUUCUGCACCUGUGUCGGAGACAGCCAGUCUGCUACUGAAAUGUGAAGAGUCCUGAAGCUACAAGUGUCUGGCCGAAUGUUUUAAAGGUGUUUGAAACUUGGCUUCCCUGACGACGAG
RNAcentral lists this long non-coding RNA (506 nucleotides) under Salmo salar (Atlantic salmon). RNAcentral's name for it is "lncRNA (ENSSSAG00000118738.1)". Lineage: Eukaryota; Metazoa; Chordata; Actinopteri; Salmoniformes; Salmonidae. The record is from RNAcentral.